GACAGAGGUCCCGAGCGUUAGGCGGAAUCACUGGGCUUAAAGCGUGUGUAGGCGGAUCGUUAAGUGCCUUGUGAAAUCCCAUGGCUUAACCAUGGAACUGCUCGGUAUACUGCUUUUCUUGAGCCACUUAGGGGCUACCGGAACAAAUGGUGGAGCGGUGAAAUGCGUAGAUAUCAUUUGGAACGCCAAUGGUGAAAACAGGUAGCUGGGAGUGUGCUGACGCUGAGACACGAAAGCCAGGGGAGCGAACGGG
RNAcentral lists this ribosomal RNA (253 nucleotides) under uncultured bacterium. Its description in RNAcentral is "partial 16S ribosomal RNA". It matches the Rfam family "Bacterial small subunit ribosomal RNA", at positions 524 to 776 of the family's 1533-position model. The record is from RNAcentral.